Gossypium arboreum is the source of this 618-nucleotide long non-coding RNA. RefSeq lists it as uncharacterized. NCBI's taxonomy places the organism in Eukaryota, Viridiplantae, Streptophyta, Magnoliopsida, Malvales, Malvaceae. The transcript has 2 exons. The record is from RefSeq and is a predicted model, not a curated record.
GUGGAUCUCCCCCACUUACACUACACCGUUGAAUUCAUCACUUAAAUCAAAACCAUUUUUGUUUUAAAAAACAUUUUUAACCUUCGUUAAAAAAACCAAAAAAAACUCUAAGACAUUCUCUCAUUUUCCCCUGUUCAACAGCAUCACAGAGCACGCCGAAGGGAGAAUAGAGGUGAUUCCUUUGGGCCUGAUCUUGACGAAGGAGGAAUCUCCAGCGUCUUCGCGACCGCCAGGAAUCAGGUAAGGAGGCCGUGGUGCUGCAGACGUGGCGAGGCCGUUCGUGGGGUGUGAUACGAAGGCUUUCCAGAAGCUUCACUGUUUGGGCUCUAUCUGCCUUGAAAUCGGACAGUUGGAGGGCGUUGUGAAGGUCACUGGUGGCUACUUGCGGUGCGAGGAGAGUUGGCUAGGGUUCCAAUUUCUGGCACAGAAAAUCUGGGCCAUUUGGGCUAAUUUUGGGAUUGGCCUAUUGGGGAAUUAAUUUUUUGGGUAUUGGGUUAGAUUUAAUUUAGGUUUGGCCCUUAUUGUAAAAUGAGUUUAAAAUUUGAGCUUCAAUUGUAUGUGGGUUAAAUGUAAAUUUGGACUAUGGACAUUUAUUGGAUUUUUAUUAUGUUUUUAUUA